Molecule: long non-coding RNA, 1097 nt
Organism: Dermochelys coriacea (leatherback sea turtle)
Lineage: Eukaryota; Metazoa; Chordata; Testudines; Dermochelyidae
Exons: 3
Source: RefSeq, a predicted model, not a curated record
CAGGCUUAAAUUUCCAUGAGGCUAACAUCUCCUGCAUUUCAGCAACAAAUUAGAAAAUAAUCCCAUCCAUGACUUUCAUGCCAAGGAAUAGGAUGUUGGAGAGGGGAAAAUAGUUGGCGAGAUCUUCAGAGUUGAGUGGUGGCUUCUUGGGGACUGGGCAAUCUAUUGCACUUUUUCAAGCAGAUUGAUGGAAGCUGGAUGGAAAAAAUAUAACCCCUGGCUCUUUAUGUUCAGAAGAAUUGUGUCCAAGCCUUUCAUUCAGAUUGCCAAAAUACCCAGCAGGUUAUGGUUCACUUAACGUUUCUGAACUGAUUGGCAAAACAAAGAGAGAAACGAUAUAAAAUGAAGGGAGAAGUUCUUCAUUGGUACAGAUCACAUCAAAGCAUCUUUCUUAUUUAAGCAGUUGUAAAGGUAUGUGCCGCUGAAUGGAUGGUCUCACCCCAGGGUUACUUAAUUUAAAACUGCUAAUUUUCUACAGUAUAUAUUCAGAAAUGUGCUCUCCAAAUCCUAGCGAUUCAUGCAUCUUGGAAUCCCUUUCUGUUACAAAUUAUUACAUUAAUAAAUACAUUUCUGUGACUCUCUAGAGGAGGAAUAUGCAAUAAAUUAGAAUGUAGGCAUUUCAUUCUCUUACAUAAAAACCUCCACAAUUAUUUUCUGUAAUGUGAAGAGGUUUCCAUUAACAGCUAGAUUUCCAGAUCUAAGUGAACAAAAUGUUUAAUGGGAGACUCAGCAACUUCACAUUAAUAGCUCUCAGCUGACAGUGUGAAAUUUUGACAUUACUGAUUACAACUCAAAUGUGAUAUACUAACUUUAAUACAGCAUGCAAGCAAUGUGUGCAGGCAAGCCAGAUGCAAAACGUAAACAUUAUCUAAACAGAGCUGAUUUCAAAUGUUUUGAAUGUAAAUAAAACACCGGGUGGUCCUUCAGACUGUCAGCAAUCAUUAUUUCCUCCAACAUAAACAAGGCUGUCAAACGGGAUUUUUGUCACAACUAUAAAAAGUCAUUCUUCACUAGUAAAUCCUAGGCUGUUUCUUCUUUUAAAAAAUAAAGUUCUUUACCUUUAGAAUAGAUAAGUUCCUUUCCAGAUUUGCAUGAAA